GAUGAACGCUAGCGGCAGGCUUAACACAUGCAAGUCGAGGGGUAGAAGCAGCUUGCUGCUUUGAGACCGGCGCACGGGUGCGUAACGCGUAUACAAUCUACCUUUUACAGAGGGAUAGCCCAGAGAAAUUUGGAUUAAUACCUCAUAGUAUUUUCGAAUCGCAUGGUUUGAUUAUUAAAGUUCCAACGGUAAAGAUGAGUAUGCGUCCCAUUAGCUAGAUGGUAAGGUAACGGCUUACCAUGGCAACGAUGGGUAGGGGUCCUGAGAGGGAGAUCCCCCCCACACUGGUACUGAGACACGGACCAGACUCCUACGGGAGGCAGCAGUGAGGAAUAUUGGACAAUGGGCGCAAGCCUGAUCCAGCCAUGCCGCGUGCAGGAAGACGGUCCUAUGGAUUGUAAACUGCUUUUAUACAGGAAGAAACNCACCCUCGUGAGGGUACUUGACGGUACUGUAUGAAUAAGCAUCGGCUAACUCCGUGCCAGCAG
Molecule: ribosomal RNA, 488 nt
Filed under: uncultured bacterium
Lineage: Bacteria
Description: bacterial SSU rRNA
Rfam family: Bacterial small subunit ribosomal RNA
Source: RNAcentral